This 339-nucleotide unclassified non-coding RNA is filed under the name soil metagenome. RNAcentral describes it as "partial contains 5.8S ribosomal RNA, internal transcribed spacer 2, and large subunit ribosomal RNA". The stretch from base 1 to 120 matches the Rfam family "5.8S ribosomal RNA", at positions 35 to 154 of the family's 154-position model. The record is from RNAcentral.
GAUGAAGAACGUAGCGAAAUGCGAUAAGUAAUGCGAAUUGCAGAAUUCCGUGAGUCAUCGAAUCUUUGAACGCACAUUGCGCCCGCCAGUAUUCUGGCGGGCAUGCCUGUCCGAGCGUCAUUUCAACCAUCAAGCCCCCGGGCUUGUGUUGGGGACCUGCGGCUGCCCGCAGGCCCUGAAAACCAGUGGCGGGCUCGCUGUCACACCGAGCGUAGUAGCAAUCACCUCGCUCAGGGCGUGCUGCGGGUUCCGGCCGUUAAACAGCCUUACAAACCCCAAGGUUGACCUCGGAUCAGGUAGGAAGACCCGCUGAACUUAAGCAUAUCAAUAAGCGGAGGA